Long non-coding RNA from Mugil cephalus (flathead mullet), 587 nucleotides. RefSeq lists it as uncharacterized. NCBI's taxonomy places the organism in Eukaryota, Metazoa, Chordata, Actinopteri, Mugiliformes, Mugilidae. The record is from RefSeq and is a predicted model, not a curated record. The transcript has 4 exons.
GAGGUCAGUAUCACAGUCAGAAAGUCUACAGUAUCCAGCUGUCUGUCUAUGAAGAGUGACUGGUCCAUAAUUCAACCUCCAGACUUCAGUGAAGAACCUGGACCCUCAGACACAAAACUGAUUAAAGGCCAGAAGAUGGAGGAAGAGAAGGACAGAGGACCUGGAAUAAACCUGUAGGACGAAUUAAAUUCUUAUCUUAAAUAUAUAAGGAACUACCAACGGAGCUACUUAAACUUUAAUCAGUCAAUGGAGACAAUGAAAACAUAUUUGUUUCUGCAGAGGUCAGUAUCACAGUCAGAGAGCAGAGUCUACAGUAUCCAGCUGUCUGUCUAUGAAGAGUGACAGGUCUAAAGGAAAUCCUCCACACUUCAGUGCAGAUCCUGGACCCUCAGACACAAAACCGAUUAAAGGCCAGAAGAUGAUGAAAGAGGAGGACAGAGAACCUGGAAUAAACCUGGGUCAGUACCACAGACACAGCACCACAGAGUCUACAGUAUCCAGCUGUCUGUCUAUGAAGAGUGACAGGUCUAAGGGAAAUCCUCCACACUUCAGUGAAGAACCUGGACCCUCAGACACAAAGUAAGAGA